CAUGUUAUAGGUUACAAUUUAGCUCAGUGGUUCUCAACCUGUGGGUCACCGGAUGUUUUGGCCUUCAGCUCCCAGAAAUCCUAACAGCUGGUAAACUGACUGGGAUUUCUGGGAGUUGUAGGCCAAAGCAUCUGGGGAUCCAAAUCAGUGGAUCUCAACUUGAGGACCCACAGGUUGAGUUCCACUGAUUUAGCUCCUCAAUUUUAUUAGUCUGCAAACAGAUUUUGGCUUCUCUUUACUCAAAGAUGGAGUGUUAUGACCCUCCUUUGUCAGUUUCUCCCAUAAGAAAAAACCAGGCAAUUGAAAUGCUUUAAAAGCUACACAUUUAGAAGCUUCUUACACAAUAUCUCAUCCCUCUAUUUAUCCUUUUAGUCAUCCCCUGCCUUUCCUCCAAAGCUGAAACUUCUGCUAGUUUAUGAAACAAAAAUAAAUAAAUAAAUAAAAACAACUGGCCAAAAACAUUAUAAAAGUUUAAAGUGGCGAUUAAAAUAAUGAGUCCUCCCUCAAGAGCUCAACCGACAAGAGUGACUUUGUUUAUGGAGUGGCUUCUUCGGGGGUAUUUGUACAUAUGCAAAAACCAAGAAGGAAACUGGAUCAGUAAAUCCUAAUUCAGCUCCCCCCCCUUGUUAAGUGUUUAUUUGAAAGCAACGCUGCUACGGCUUUGUUUCUCCCAUCUAACUACACCUUAAAGAUUUGGGUUUUCCAGAAAGUGUACUUGGUAGGAUCAAUUUUUACGAAUUUUGUGUGCAACUGUUUGUUCCUCUGCUAUUGACAGGCAUGGCAAUUUGGCACCUUAAUUACUAUUCAAUUCCCUCUCUGCAGGCUCCAGAUGGAAAUUAUUAGCACUUUUCUUAAUUACGACAAUGAAGACCAUAAGUGGAGAAUCAAGAGAAGAAAACAAGUUGAGUUACUUAUCCCUGCAAGCGAGGAUGAAGCAAUUGAGCACCUGUAUCCCAAAGUUCAACAUUGUCUCCUUUAGUGGCUCCCAACAUGUGAGCAGCAGACCACUGAUGGUACUUCGGGUGGUCUGUGAAGGACUCCUUAGUGGAAGUGAAAUGUAUGAACCAAUCACAGGAAGAGAGAAGGGUGAAGAUCACACUAAUGGAGCCUCUCAUCAUUUCAUCAUUUGCCAUCAUUUCUGUUUUUUACACUGUGUAAUAAAUAUGAAAUAUUUAUAUAUAGGCUUCUAAUACUGGGAAAAGGCAGGCUUUAAAUGGAUAAAAUAAAUACAAAUACAUAAGUAAUACCUUUGUGUGUGAUGUUUGAUACACGCUAAAUUCAAAAGUGCAAACAACUUUCUUACACAGGGCCCACAAAACCUUUGAUACUGAUGCAGUCUGCAUAAAAGAAAAGGCUCAGGAUCAAUAAUCUGCUAGCAGUGAUUCUCUAGGCUUUCAGGCUAGGGACAUUCUCAUAACUGUCUGAAGACUCGUAAGAACUGAACUUGGGAAUUUCUGCAUGAAUAGCAUGUGUGCUGUCAAUGAGUCAUGGCUCACACUUCUCAUCUUUUUUCUUACACUUUUAGUAAAGCCUUUAGUUUAAUUACUG
Anolis carolinensis (green anole) is the source of this 1548-nucleotide long non-coding RNA. The record is from Ensembl. NCBI's taxonomy places the organism in Eukaryota, Metazoa, Chordata, Lepidosauria, Squamata, Anolidae.